Molecule: long non-coding RNA, 1420 nt
Organism: Quercus lobata
Lineage: Eukaryota; Viridiplantae; Streptophyta; Magnoliopsida; Fagales; Fagaceae
Exons: 8
Source: RefSeq, a predicted model, not a curated record
GCUCCAAAUUUAAACAUUUUUCAACGCAUUCUAUGACAACCUUUGAUGGAAGAUAUCUCAAAAUUUCCAACCCUUGAAAUAAAGUCCAAAAUUAAAAUACAAAAAGGAGAACUCUUUUUCUUUUUCUUUUUCUUUUUCUUUUUUCACGCUCCACACUCAGAAACAGCUCACAUAAUCAGAAAAUUCUCUCAAAAUCGAUCUGAGCUCAUCUCAGAAAACUCAAAGAUUAGAGCUCAUCUCAUCUCCGAUUGGCUGAUUUGCGGUGGUCAGCCAUCUCAUCUCCGACGACAAGCGAGCCGUUGAUAGCUGUCUCUCUCUGUUUGUUUCCCGAGAAAUUAUGGAAAUUACACUUAUAUCAGAUUCUACUAGGAAAAGAAUGAUGGAAAAUUAAUAGCUGUUCUGAGUCUACUGGUGUUGAGUUCUCCUACAUUGUGAUCUUUCAUGGGGGGGAGACAUCAUCUUUCUUUCUUCACAUUUUUAAGGUUCAGUUUACAGAGAAAAGAAUACAGAUCGGAUGGAAGCAACCUUCUAGUUUAUUUCUUGCUACUAUAUCUAUUCUUCUCAGUGAGCAGGUGCCUUUUGCAGAGAAGGACUUGGCAGUAGUCAAUAUUUCUAGGAGAAUUGAACUGGGCAACUGUGCCAUAGGAUUUAGCUCAUUUUACAGAGAUACUUGGAGGUGCUGGGGAAGCUUUUGCUGAUCUGAAGCAGCUGUUCUCCCUUGCUGAAAAGUUUGGUUAUGCUGAAUGGAUUGAAUUUGAUGCAUCUAUUGUCUGUGGGCUUGCAUACUACACUGGUAUUGUGUUCGAGACUGAUCAAGUUGAUGUCCAAAUAAAAGCUGUUAAUUUAGUUGGGAAACUUUUUGCGCUGCCCAAACAGCAAGUUGCACAACAUUACCAUGAUCUUUUCUUAGAGUUCUUGAAAAGAUUCUCUAAUAAAUCUAUGGAAGUUAGAGUGAGCGCUCUACAAUGUGUUAAAGCUUUCUACAUGGCCAGUCCUUCUGGAACAGAAUCUCAUGAAGUUAUCAGGUUUUGACCCUUGAAAAAAGUCAGAUUUGUUGUAGUGAGCUUGACUUCGACGUUGUCCACGCAAAGCAGCGGAGCUGGGUGAGCUUGAUACUUAAGGAGUUGUGGAAGCAAACCAUAAAGAAAAUCGGCACAGUUCAUGGUGUUUUUAAUGAUAAAAUUUGUUGUACAAGUUUUGGUCUAAAAUCUAAAAUGUAUUUGUGAAUUUGGGUUAGUGGGUGUCCUUUCUUUUCUUCUUCUUCUUCUUCUUUAUUUUAUUAUUUUAUAAGAAAAGUAAAAAUAAUACAUGGUAAGUUAUGAGUGGUAGAGUAUAAAAUGAAAUACAAAAUGUGGGACAAAUGAUUUGUAUUUGUCACAAUGUAAUUCUAAAUGAACUCCAAUUUAAGGAAAUUUUAUGA